CCGAGUUUACAAACUCCCAAACCCUUUGUGAACCUUACCUAUCGUUGCUUCGGCGGGAUCGCCCCGGCGCCUUCGGGCCCGGAACCAGGCGCCCGCCGGAGGCCCCAAACUCUAAUGUUUCUUAUUGUAACUUCUGAGUAAAACAAACAAAUAAAUCA
This 158-nucleotide unclassified non-coding RNA is filed under the name uncultured Myrothecium. RNAcentral's name for it is "sequence contains ITS1". The record is from RNAcentral. Lineage: Eukaryota; Fungi; Ascomycota; Sordariomycetes; Hypocreales.